This is a non-coding RNA of Solanum lycopersicum (tomato), 143 nucleotides long. Lineage: Eukaryota; Viridiplantae; Streptophyta; Magnoliopsida; Solanales; Solanaceae. The record is from RefSeq and is marked provisional.
CAAAAGCUAGCUCAUGAGGAGAGGUUUGUCAAGUCCACAUAAGAAGACCGAAUUCCCAUCCCUCUACCGCUGUGGGACAUCUUAAUGGGAAUUCGGUCUUCUUAUGUGGACUUGACAAACCUCUCCUCAUGAGUUAGCUUUUG